RNAcentral lists this unclassified non-coding RNA (610 nucleotides) under Hevea brasiliensis (rubber tree). The record is from RNAcentral. Lineage: Eukaryota; Viridiplantae; Streptophyta; Magnoliopsida; Malpighiales; Euphorbiaceae.
GCCAAUAAUAGCAAGGGGAGAGGGAAGGAGGGAAACCGGCGUCUAUGCACCUCCAAGUUCAAGAAAAGUGAUUGUAUUUUUAAACAUUACAUAGGUUUGUUGAAGGAAGAAAAAAACAACAUUUGAUCUAUAGUAUAAAAGAAAAUCCAUCAUAAAUUAGUCCCCCUUCUACAGCAACACCCUCAGAAUCCCAUCGACAAAUCUAGUAAUCCAGCAGCAAAAUAUGUGAAAGUACAAAAGUAAAGGAAUUCAUCAUUCUUCCGCAGCACUCGCGGCACUUAGGUCCACAUUGAGGUCAAGAACCUUUCCAGUUAUUUUUGUGUACAAAUUGAGCACAUCAUCUACAGUCGACUCAAAGUGAGUUGUUGCAUCAUAGCUAGUUGAAACAAAACAAUUGUCCAAGGUGCACUCAUUGACAGGUUCAGAUCGGUCAUAAGUUUCAUAGACGAUCUCAUCCACUGGCCCUAGAAGACUGACGCCUGGCUUCAGUUCAUUCUCUGGGUUAUCAGUUUCUGCCUCUGUUGAGACAAAUGCAAUGAAUUUCCCCUUUGGAGCAACAUUAUGAGUGUAAGAACAGCAGAACAGGUACAUAUCUGAUUUGCGACCCAAC